This 493-nucleotide long non-coding RNA is filed under the name Mytilus galloprovincialis (Mediterranean mussel). The record is from RNAcentral. Lineage: Eukaryota; Metazoa; Mollusca; Bivalvia; Mytilida; Mytilidae.
AUAACAAUUAUUUAAAGAAAUUCCAUUGUGACAGCGUCCUUUAAGAGGGAACGCAAUGAAACUUUUUAUCAGCUUUUAAUUAAUAUUUAAACAUGUUAAAAUCAGUGAAGGUAUUACACUCUGGGGUGAUAUUACAUUUAUCUGACCAUAGAUGUAAUACCAUCUAUGAUCUGACCAAACAUCUUUUAUAUGUAUUGUAUUUUGGAAUUAAAAUAUCUUCAUAAUGAAAGAUGUAAAAUGGGCAAUAAGAAAAAAGUGUUUAAGAUGUGACGAAUUUAUUGGAAGAGAUGGUGAUAUUAUUGCGACUAUUUUGCUUCUUAACAAGAUGAUGAGCGGGGGAAAUAUUGAAAUAUAUCUAUAGGUCUGUUUUUUGUUAAUCAAUAUAUGACAAGGUAUAUAUUUUUGAUUAACAAAAUAUAUGAAAAGGGUGGGGUACUUGAUGUCUCAGCUGCUCACCCCUACCAAAAAAAGUUUGAAGUGGCUCCCCCGAGUA